RNAcentral lists this ribosomal RNA (466 nucleotides) under uncultured bacterium. RNAcentral's name for it is "partial 16S ribosomal RNA". It matches the Rfam family "Bacterial small subunit ribosomal RNA", at positions 28 to 507 of the family's 1533-position model. The record is from RNAcentral.
GACGAACGCUGGCGGCGCGCCUAACACAUGCCAGUCGAACGAGCGAGAGGAGGUUUACUUUCUCAAGCGAGUGGCGAACGGGUGAGUAACGCGUGAGGAACCUGCCUCAAAGAGGGGGACAACAGUUGGAAACGACUGCUAAUACCGCAUAAGCCCACGACCCGGCAUCGGGUAGAGGGAAAAGGAGCAAUCCGCUUUGAGAUGGCCUCGCGUCCGAUUAGCUAGUUGGUGAGGUAAUGGCCCACCAAGGCGACGAUCGGUAGCCGGGCUGAGAGGUUGAACGGCCACAUUGGGACUGAGACACGGCCCAGACUCCUACGGGAGGCAGCAGUGGGGAAUAUUGCACAAUGGGGGAAACCCUGAUGCAGCGACGCCGCGUGGAGGAAGAAGGUCUUCGGAUUGUAAACUCCUGUUGUGGAGGAAGAUAAUGACGGUACUCAACAAGGAAGUGACGGCUAACUACGUG